RNAcentral lists this ribosomal RNA (253 nucleotides) under uncultured bacterium. Its description in RNAcentral is "partial 16S ribosomal RNA". It matches the Rfam family "Bacterial small subunit ribosomal RNA", at positions 524 to 776 of the family's 1533-position model. The record is from RNAcentral.
UACGGGGGGGGCAAGCGUUGUUCGGAAUUACUGGGCGUAAAGGGCUCGUAGGCGGCCAACUAAGUCAGACGUGAAAUCCCUCGGCUUAACCGGGGAACUGCAUCUGAUACUGGAUGGCUUGAGAUUGGGAGAGGGAUGCGGAAUUCCAGGUGUAGCGGUGAAAUGCGUAGAUAUCUGGAGGAACACCGGUGGCGAAGGCGGCAUCCUGGACCAACACUGACGCUGAGACGCGAAAGCGUGGGGAGCAAACAGG